UUAAAGAAAUUCACAAAUUAAUUCCUACAAUUAUUACUACUUCCAUAAAUUGCUUAGAAGCUUUAAUUAUUAGCAUUCAAUAUUCAAAAUUCAGUCUGAAUUGUGAUUAAAUAUAGUCCUAUUUCUGCUUCUCUGCUGGAUGAAAAUAACUCUUGGAAGCCAGUAUUUGAGAAUAUUAAGAAUACACAUGCAUAAGAGUUAAAAAUUGUCAAAUUGUCUAAUGCAUAUCUAAAAUUCAGAGUUGCUUCUUGUUUAACAAUUUGUUUCUGCCAGGGAAUAGUGAUGAAAUAGGAGAGAAGCGAAAUGAAUUGGAUAAGAAUAAGGGAUGAAGGUAGGGCAUUUUAAGACAGAAAACUACAUAUAUGGGGCAUAUGUGUGCAAGUGUGUUUGUCUGUUGUAUGUAUUUGUAUACCGAUACAUUCAUACAUAUGAAUACAUCCUGUUGACAUAAAUUUGAUCAGGUAUUAGCUCUGUCAGCUUUAACCUAGUUUUUGCUGCUCUUAUGUAAGUGCUUGGCAGCUAUGUGUCUUCUAAUGAUUUCAUCAUUUUCAUUACAUUUAAUAGAGAUAUGUCCCAGCUUAGUGGCAUGAGGCAAGGUGAUGAAACUUCACUUUAUACAGAACACAUACAGAAAGUGGCUAAAUAUUGGAUUUUCCAAGGACUACAGUGGCACUGAUACAGUACCAAGAGGUAUCAUGAAUUCUUUUUAUGAUGGACACAAACACAUAUUUUUAAGAUGCUGGAGCUACACAGAAGGAGUUGUGAUGAUUUAAAAUAGGUUAGUCCUGCUUCUGAAAAUCUCGAGUAACAAAUGGACUUCACAAUAUCAAGUUUAAAAUCUCUGUCUCCCUAUUAGAAUGAAGUAAGAAAAAUCAGAUACUGAAAACAGAAAUUGUACCAUUGAAACAGAAAUAUUCUGGAAGGAAAAAUAGUUCUGAAAAUAUUUAAUCUUUAAAAAAAAUGCUGUUUUCUCAACCUAUAAUAAAACAGGGUUCUUGUCUAACCUAUGCUUAAAA
RNAcentral lists this long non-coding RNA (1016 nucleotides) under Anser cygnoides (Swan goose). RNAcentral's name for it is "lncRNA (ENSACDG00005007359.1)". Lineage: Eukaryota; Metazoa; Chordata; Aves; Anseriformes; Anatidae. The record is from RNAcentral.